Molecule: transfer-messenger RNA, 358 nt
Filed under: Coriobacteriales bacterium
Lineage: Bacteria; Bacillati; Actinomycetota; Coriobacteriia; Coriobacteriales
Rfam family: transfer-messenger RNA
About the family: Bacterial tmRNA, also known as 10Sa RNA or SsrA, is named for its dual tRNA and mRNA-like properties. Its role is to liberate the mRNA from a stalled ribosome.
Source: RNAcentral
GGGGGCGACCGGUUUCGACGUAAUAGUCAUGUGAUCAGGAGCAAGCCGUGGAUGGGCAGUCCACGUAAAAGAGGCCCACUGCUAAAUAUUAAUUGGCAACCAAAGAACUUAUGCUCUUGCCGCUUAGUUAAGCCGCAAGCACCAAACCCGUCUUGCCUGCGUGGUGGGCACGGUGUCACUUUUAAGCAGGAUGCUCCCGAGAAGGUGGGAUGUAUGUCUCGGACUAAGCCUGAACAUCCAUGGUCGCGCAUGGGUCGUCUGUUGACGUUGCGCGGCUAAGACUUCCAGCAGACUAAGCUUGUAGGGCCUGAUCGUGUUGCUACUGCGGACCGGAGUUCGAUUCUCCGCGCCUCCACCA